RNAcentral lists this long non-coding RNA (1941 nucleotides) under Phascolarctos cinereus (koala). RNAcentral's name for it is "lncRNA (ENSPCIG00000023552.2)". The record is from RNAcentral. Lineage: Eukaryota; Metazoa; Chordata; Mammalia; Diprotodontia; Phascolarctidae.
GAAGAACUGAGUUCAAAUCCAGCCUCAGACACUUACUAGCUGUAUGACCCCGGGCAAGUCACUUAACUGUGUUUACUCAAGUAAAAUAAACUGAAGAAGGAAAUGGCAAGUCACUCCAGUAUCUCUGCAAAGAAAACCCCAAAUGGGGUCAUAAAAAGUCACACAUGACUAAAAUGACUAAACAACAAUAAGAAAUCUUGACUUCAAAUCUAGCACUCUACCUGCCAUCCUGUGUGGGUUGAUUCUCUAUUGAUUCUCUACGUGACUGCAGAUAUGUCACUGAAAUCUUCUGGGCCCCAUCUUUUCUACAUUCAUUUGUAAAAUAAUGAUCAGAUCAUAUUUUCCCCACAAUCCAAUUUGAAAAGACAGCUUUGAAAGCUAAAUACUUGGGAAGAAAGUUGCUACUAAAGUAAGAAAUAGAACACGGGUAGUCGCUGAUGUUCGGAAGCUUUACUCCGGGAAUUCUGGCUAUCUAAUUGCUAAGUCAUGUUCAUGCUGUUGUAAUGGAAGGAUGGCAAGCUUUUCUUUUUUAAUUUCCUCAUAAUCUUGUGAUUGUUGCCAAAUAGUGGAGGAUGGAGUAAGGGGGGCAGGGCUGACAGCAAAAGUUAACUGAACUGGCUACCAUGACUACCCUUCCUGGAUGGCGUCUGCCUUGAAAGUCAAUCAGGAGGGGCUGAAUAUGAACUGCAGGUGAGACACACCUGGUGCCCAAGAAGCAGUGCAGUAUCCAACUGUGUCUACCAAGCCCUGGAGAGCUCCAGAACUACAAGAGUCUGGUUCAAAGUCUGGAGAGCCCAGUUUCCUAAAAAAAACUGCUUGGUUAUGUUAAAAAGUCAGUCACCCAUGAAAUGCAUGAUCCCAGAGAAUACAAAUGCCAGCCUAGUGCUUGUCUUGCAGAAACUCUUGCUUACUGGGAGGCAAACAUCAACAACUCCUGACUUUAUCAUACUUCAGAAUUGAAGGACUGCCUAUCCAACAAAGAUUCCAGAAAGUAGAAAAAAUAUUAUACUCUAGAUUCAUCUAUUUUGAUUAUAGGACUUCACUCUCUACUUAACAUAAGUUAUUUGGGGAAUGAACUUUUUUAAUUAAAAAAAUUGGUAAUUCUAUCUUAAGAACAUCAUGGUAUCUAUCGAGAUACUUGGAGACAUUCUGAGAUGUUAUGAAAUCAAGGAGAGGAAUGACCAUUCUAAAGCAAUGAUUUCCAAUCCAUGAGCCAUGGACCACUGAGGGGGCAGGGGAUUAUUGUGAGAAAUCCAUCUGAUUGUUGACACAGCAAAACAAAUAAGCAACAUUUUGUAGAAUGAAGAAAUAGUUUUUGCUCACAUAUGUAUAUCUAUUUACAUACACAUACUUACAUACACACACACACAUAGAGAAAGAAAGAGAAAGAGAGGAAGAGAGAGAGAGAGAGAGAGAGAGAGAGAGAGAGAGAGAGAGAGAGAGAGAGAGAGAGAGAGAGAGAGAGAUAUGCUAUUGUGUCCCCUCCCAACUGGGCUCCUGACUUUCUACACUUCAAAGUCAUACCUCUACUGCUGUUUCCUCUGGAACUUCUCUCAUCACUUGGGACCCCUCUGACCUCCAACAUCUAACACUGUGUGGCCUGCUCACCAUGAAAUAUACUUCUGCAAGGACCAUCCCACCCUUCUGUCCUUGAUGAAUUGCUUAGAGCUUCCAUUUUAUGAAGGGGCCAGGUUAGCCUACCUUCAUUCCCUUCCAGGUCCUGCUCCUGAAUUCUGAAUUUCAGAAUCAUACUGUCAUACUAGGUACCUUCAUCUUCCCACUAACCACCCACCCCCAACCUUUUCAGUUCCCUUUUGGAUGUUGAAGUCCCCAUUAGAAAUUAUGAGGACAGGAACUGUUUUUCUUAUAUUUUUAUCCUCAGUAUUUAGCACAUAGUGAGCAUGUAAUAAAUGCUUGUUUCCUUUCUUUUUCUGUGUGAUU